Molecule: ribosomal RNA, 335 nt
Filed under: uncultured bacterium
Lineage: Bacteria
Description: partial 16S ribosomal RNA
Rfam family: Bacterial small subunit ribosomal RNA
Source: RNAcentral
CCUACGGUGGGCUGCAGUGGGGGAUAUUGCACAAUGGGGGAAACCCUGAUGCAGCGACGCCGCGUGAGUGAAGAAGUAUUUCGGUAUGUAAAGCUCUAUCAGCAGGGAAGAAAAUGACAGUACCUGACCAAGAAGCCCCGGCUAACUACGUGCCAGCAGCCGCGGUAAUACGUAGGGGGCAAGCGUUAUCCGGAUUUACUGGGUGUAAAGGGAGCGUAGACGGUAGCACAAGUCUGGAGUGAAAUGCCGGGGCUUAACCCCGGAACUGGUUGGGAAACUGUGCAGCUAGAGUGCAGGAGGGGUAAGGCGAAUUCCGAGUGUAGCGGGGAAAUGCG